GUAAAGACUUCCCAUACCAGAUCAGUGCUUCCAUCUCAAUAUGUACUGGUAAAAGUUGAGAUUUAAAAAUGUAUUCAAAUUUUCUCUCUUUGUACUUCUGUUAGUCCCAGUGAAGGAGUUGUGGCCUCUAUGUUUGUCUGUUCCAGUGAAGGAGGUGUGGCCUCUGUAUUUAUUGGUCCCACUGAAGGAGGUGUGGCCUCUGUGUUAUACAGUUCAAGUGAAGGAGGUGUGGCCUCUGUAUUUGUUGGUCCCACUGAAGGAGGUGUGGCCUCUGUGUUAUUCAGUUCCAGUGAAGGAGGUGUGGCAUCUGUAUUUAUUGGUCCCACUGAAAGAGGUGUGGCCUCUGUGUUAUACAGUUCCAGUGAAGGAGGUUGUGGCCUCUGUAUUUGUCCCAGUGAAGGAGGUGUGGCCUCUGUGUUUGUCAGUUCCAUUGAAAGAGGUCCAUCUGUAAAGAAGGUGUGGUUUCUGCACCUGUCAGUCCUAGAGAAGAGGUGUGGUUUUGUUCUUGCA
This is a long non-coding RNA of Ictalurus punctatus (channel catfish), 510 nucleotides long. NCBI's taxonomy places the organism in Eukaryota, Metazoa, Chordata, Actinopteri, Siluriformes, Ictaluridae. The record is from Ensembl.